UACAGAGGGUGCAAGCGUUGUUCGGAAUUAUUGGGCGUAAAGCGCGUGUAGGCGGCUCGUUAAGUCUGAUGUGAAAUCCUGCGGCUCAACCGUAGAACUGCAUCGGAAACUAGCAAGCUAGAGUACGAGAGAGGAGGGUGGAAUUCCCAGUGUAGCGGUGAAAUGUGUAGAUAUUGGGAGGAACACCGGCGGCGAAAGCGGCCCUCUGGAUCGAUACUGACGCUGAGACGCGAAAGCGUGGGGAGCAAACAGG
RNAcentral lists this ribosomal RNA (253 nucleotides) under uncultured bacterium. RNAcentral describes it as "partial 16S ribosomal RNA". It matches the Rfam family "Bacterial small subunit ribosomal RNA", at positions 524 to 776 of the family's 1533-position model. The record is from RNAcentral.